This 417-nucleotide long non-coding RNA is filed under the name Prunus persica (peach). RNAcentral describes it as "long non-coding RNA (PPER_LNC003486)". Lineage: Eukaryota; Viridiplantae; Streptophyta; Magnoliopsida; Rosales; Rosaceae. The record is from RNAcentral.
AGAGGCAUUCGAGGCAGUGGAGUAGGAGAAAGAGCUAGAAGAAACAGAAGAAUGACCUCAAGAAAAGGCAAAAGAAAUGGAAGAAGAGGUGAGUAUUGUUUUCUGGCUAUGUCAGCUUUUCUUUUGUUUCUUCGUCUCCUCUGUUCUGACUUCUUUUUAUCUAUAGGAGGAAAUCCCCGCUGAAGUGAUUGCAGAGAGCAUUGCUUUGGCCAGAGGCAGCAGGAGAAUCCAGAGGCAUAGCUGACUAGCUCGGAGUUGGCCCUUUUUGAAGUCGUAGAGGAAGAACACUCCACUGCCGUUCUAGCAGCUGAGGGGUAGGCAGGGCAGUCUGUAUCAGAGCCUGUGGAGCAGGCAGAACUACCUGUUGCAGUCCCAGCACCUGGAGUGGAAGUGGCUGCUGCUGUUCCUGAAGUUGUG